ACGCUCGACACCUACGGGAUGCAGCAGUGGGGAAUAUUGCACAAUGGAGGAAACUCUGAUGCAGCGACGCCGCGUGAGGGAAGAAGGUCUUCGGAUUGUAAACCUCUGUUGUCAGGGACGAUGAUGACGGUACCUGACGAGGAAGCCACGGCUAACUACGCGCCAGCAGCCGCGGUAAUCUGAGCGGGCUGGCAAGGC
This 198-nucleotide ribosomal RNA is filed under the name uncultured bacterium. RNAcentral describes it as "partial 16S ribosomal RNA". It matches the Rfam family "Bacterial small subunit ribosomal RNA", at positions 326 to 539 of the family's 1533-position model. The record is from RNAcentral.